RNAcentral lists this ribosomal RNA (144 nucleotides) under Botrytis cinerea. RNAcentral's name for it is "partial large subunit ribosomal RNA". Lineage: Eukaryota; Fungi; Ascomycota; Leotiomycetes; Helotiales; Sclerotiniaceae. The record is from RNAcentral.
AGGCCAGCAUCAGUUUGAGUGGUUAGAUAAAGGCUUAGAGAAUGUGGCCCUCUUCGGGGGGUGUUAUAGCUCUAGGUGCAAUGUAGCCUACUUGGACUGAGGACCGCGCUUCGGCUAGGAUGCUGGCGUAAUGGUUGUAAGCGA